UGCUGCGAUUGCGGUUGCUGUUGCGGUUGAGAUGUAAUAUUGGCAUUAGAAUUAAUGUUGUUAAAGUUGUGAUUAUCAAAAGGAGGUGGUGGCAGCGGCUUCUUGGUGAUGAUGGGUUUGGAGAUCUUAUGGGAAAGCUUAUUGAGGUUUUUGAGGUACUGAUCUCUGGUGCUACUAACGGUGGUGUUACUGCUGCUGCUACCACUGGUGAUGGUAGAAUCACCAGAGGAUUGACAGCUUUUAUCCAUUACAGAAACAAAACCCUCUCUCUCUCUCUCUCCUUCGUCUACAGAUCUACCAAGUAUGCAUCUAUAAGUGGGCAAAACAGCGGAGCUGUCUGUGUAUGUGGGGAAAAAUCAUCUUCUUGAUAGUGUUUGUGAUUGUGGGUAGGCCAGUAGGGUCACAGACGCAGACUAAAUACAAAUAUCUUUGAGAUUAAUAAAGCUAAUAGUCUGAAACUGAAAGCUCUUCUACUACUUGUUUAUCUCUUAUAGAGAGAUGUGGAAAAGAAAAGAAGGAAUGCGUCCUCUGUAAUAUUUUGGUUUAUUUUGGGUUGAGGCUUAAAAGAAGAGAAAGCAC
Molecule: unclassified non-coding RNA, 579 nt
Filed under: Hevea brasiliensis (rubber tree)
Lineage: Eukaryota; Viridiplantae; Streptophyta; Magnoliopsida; Malpighiales; Euphorbiaceae
Source: RNAcentral